This 442-nucleotide ribosomal RNA is filed under the name uncultured bacterium. Its description in RNAcentral is "partial 16S ribosomal RNA". It matches the Rfam family "Bacterial small subunit ribosomal RNA", at positions 338 to 795 of the family's 1533-position model. The record is from RNAcentral.
CCUACGGGUGGCUGCAGUGGGGAAUAUUGGGCAAUGGGCGAAAGCCUGACCCAGCAACGCCGCGUGAAGGAAGAAGGCUUUCGGGUUGUAAACUUCUUUUGACAGGGAAGAGCAGAAGACGGUACCUGUCGAAUAAGCCACGGCUAACUACGUGCCAGCAGCCGCGGUAAUACGUAGGUGGCAAGCGUUGUACGGAUUUACUGGGUGGAAAGGGUGUGUAGCCGGGCUGACAAGUCAGAAGUGAAACCCGGGGGCUCAACUGCCGAACUGCAUUUGAAACUGUUGGACUUGAGUGUCGGAGAGGCAGGCGGAAUUCCUAGUGUAGCGGUGAAAUGCGUAGAUAUUAGGAGGAACACCGGUGGCGAAGGCGGCCUACUGGACGGCAACUGACGGUGAGGCGCGAAAGCGUGGGGAGCAAACAGGAUUAGAUACCCCUGUAGUC